Molecule: ribosomal RNA, 467 nt
Filed under: uncultured bacterium
Lineage: Bacteria
Description: partial 16S ribosomal RNA
Rfam family: Bacterial small subunit ribosomal RNA
Source: RNAcentral
GACGAACGCUGGCGGCGUGCUUAACACAUGCAAGUCGAACGGAAAGGCCCUGCUUUUGUGGGGUGCUCGAGUGGCGAACGGGUGAGUAACACGUGAGUAACCUGCCCUUGACUUUGGGAUAACUUCAGGAAACUGGGGCUAAUACCGGAUAGGAGCUCCUGCUGCAUGGUGGGGGUUGGAAAGUUUCGGCGGUUGGGGAUGGACUCGCGGCUUAUCAGCUUGUUGGUGGGGUAGUGGCUUACCAAGGAUUUGACGGGUAGCCGGCCUGAGAGGGUGACCGGCCACAGUGGGAUUGGGAAAGGGCCAGGAGUCCAACGGGGGGCAGCGGGGGGGAAUAUUGCAAAAUGGGCGGAAGGCGGAUGGAGGAACGCCGGGGGGGGGAAGACGGCUUUGGGGUUGUAAACCGUUUUCGCCUGUGAGGAAGCGUGAGGGAGGGAAAUGGGUAAAAAAGCACCGGCUAACUACGU